GCGCAUCUCAGGAAAUUUGCGCACUCUUUGGAGAGCCCCAUGGUUAAUUCACUUGUUAUAUUAUUACUGUUAUUGUUAAUCCGUUGUAUCAAUGAGAAGAAAGCAUUGUAAAAACCCAAAAGUAAAUAAAAAUGGCUAAGAAGCCAUUUUUAAGAAGUAAGAAGAUAACACGUGGGUCUGAGAAAGGACUCCUCGUUCUCUAUAAUUAGUAGAACAAGGGGGAGAUCUGGGAGUUUCUAGAUGCCCAGUACAAAAGAGCGGAGCCAACUGAUGUGCCAGGGGAGGCCCGGGCUGGGGACAAAGAAGUCUCAGUGUGAUGACCUUGAGACCAGAGACCAGGGCAAGUGAGAAAAAUUUCAGGAAUAUUUCCCAUUGCAACAACCUGAAAUUAGCUGAAUUCUCAGAGGCUGCAAGCACAGGACUCAUAUCCUUGAGCACUGACUUGCCAUAGCUACCCUACAGCUGCCAUGAUGGAGAGACCACAUGGAGAGCACCCAAAGAGAGAGAGAUGCCUGAGGAACCCCAACUGUUUCCAGCCCAGGUGCCAGAUAUGCAAGAGAGGAAGCCUUCAAACUGAGUCCAGUCCCAGCUACUGUCUGACUACAACCAAAUGGGAGAGUCUGAGUGAGAACCACGAGCCUGGGCCUAGACAACCCCCAGAACUAUGCAUUAUAGCUGAUCACACUAACUUUGUGAGCCUUAGAAGUAAGGAGGAGCUGAAUUGGAACAGAUGAAAAAGAAUCCGUAAGUGUAUGAGAUCUGCCAUAGGAAAUGAUGCUAAGGAUGAUUAAAAUAGUCACAAGGAAACUGGAACAGCAUUAGAUAAUAUUAUUAAAAUAACUACAUAGUAAUAUGUAGCUCUUCUUGAGAGCUAAAAAUAUUUCUGGAAUUUUUUUUUUCAUUCAGUACCCUUAGAUUCCAAACCCUUAUAAACAUAGUGGGCUAUUUAUUUAUUUAUUUAUAACGGAUCAAGUGCAUUGUCAGUUAUUUUGACUAUUUCAUAUAGAUUAAAUAAUGUUUCUGCAUCUUUUUCAAAAGAAGAUUCGGUAAAUUUUUAAAAGUCUAUCACUGUGAAAAGUAACUAGAAUAAAACAGUUUUUCUCUUGAGAAGGUAUCAAAGUAUUCUAAAUAACUUUUAUAAGAUGUCAACAAAAUUGGGGAAUAUGGGAAAGGGAAAGAGGGGAAUAAACUUCCUUAUAAUGCUCAAGAAUGUCUAUUAUUUAUCAAUAUAGAUUACAAAGUCUAGUCUUCCACAAAAGUGUCAAGUCAAUCAAUACAUUGGGUCAAGCAGUUUUUAAGUGUUUCUUUCACAUUUAAAACUAAUUGUGCAUCUCUUUAUUUCAAAAGUGAUGUCUUAGGUUGGCUUCCCUGGGAAACAAAUAUUGAGACUCCGAGACAGACAUGCAUAUAGAAGUCACUGCAGAGGACUCAGAAACAAUAGCUGUGAGGAAGCAAGGAGAGCAGGAUUAAGCAGAGGGAGACGUCGAUCUGCCAUUUGGUCCUCACACUUCAGAGAUGUUUUACAAGGACACAAGGGGGGGGUGGGUCUUUGUAGUCACCCCCCUAGUUUCUAUACUGAACAAUCGCUGGAUGCAGACUGCUCAGGGGCAUGGAUACCACCUUAUGUAAGCCAGUUCCUUUAGGCUGAGGGCAGUUCCCAGAGACAGUCUCAGCUGUGAACUGUCCGUAACCAACAUUCCAGGCUGCUGAGAGAAUGGAUGCCUCACCACUGAAAGGAGAUCCAGGCAAAGCUCCAUGCUAUCUACACCACCCAGCAAAAGAGAAUGACUGGAUAAAAGAGGUGGGGUAAUUUGUUUCAUUUUAUAAAUGGAACACUUCCAACUAAAUCUUCACUCUAAUGAGGGAGGUAGUAUAAUACUAUGGUUCUCAAGUGGAUGUCCAUUGUUUACUCAAAAAGUAACAUAAUAGGUUGAUAUUU
Non-coding RNA from Equus caballus (horse), 1939 nucleotides. NCBI's taxonomy places the organism in Eukaryota, Metazoa, Chordata, Mammalia, Perissodactyla, Equidae. The record is from RefSeq and is a predicted model, not a curated record.